Molecule: ribosomal RNA, 202 nt
Filed under: Pachycondyla harpax
Lineage: Eukaryota; Metazoa; Arthropoda; Insecta; Hymenoptera; Formicidae
Description: partial large subunit ribosomal RNA
Source: RNAcentral
GAAUUUUAUAUAAAUUAUUAAUAAAAUAAAUUAGUAAUUUAUAUUUUAUUGGGAGGAUAAUUAAAUUUAAAUAACUUUAAUGUAGAGAAACUUUGAUUAAUGGAAAGAAAAAGAUGAUUAAUAAAAAAUUAUUGGAGAUUAAAUUACCUUAGGGAUAACAGCAUUAUAUUUUUUUUUAGAUCAUAUAUAAAAAAAUGUUUAU